This 758-nucleotide long non-coding RNA is filed under the name Ananas comosus (pineapple). RNAcentral's name for it is "long non-coding RNA (ACOM_LNC001433)". Lineage: Eukaryota; Viridiplantae; Streptophyta; Magnoliopsida; Poales; Bromeliaceae. The record is from RNAcentral.
GUUCAUAUUUGGUUGAUCUCGAAAUAAAUAAAUAAAUAAAUAGUGUAUAUAAAUAUUUUAGACUUCUAUGUAGAAAAUUUGAAUAUUAUUUUAAGUUAUUGCCUCUUUUUAGUAUGGCUUUUAAAUUUUAAUACUAAUAAAUAAUACUAAGAGCGAUAGCAAGAAUCAAUAAUCAAUAUAACAGAAUUAGGUUGUAGGGACACAUGCUUGAGACACUUUUGUCUAAGUGUUCCAUUUAUGUUAAAAUUUUAAAAAACAUCUACUAAUACCUAAAUAUAAAGCCGAAUCCAACAAAAAUAAAAGAUUACUAUACUCAACCCACCCAACCCAGCCCAUUUGGCUCGAUUCCAAACAAAAAAGAAAAAAAACAAAGAAAAAUUAAGUUCCAUCUCCCCUUCUCCCCUCACUCAAUCCACUGAAAUUCUAGACGAAGAGUCCUUCCCUCUCGUCCUCCUCUGCCACAGCAGCUAACGAGGUAGAGUUCCGGCAGUUACUAGAUGCUUAAAUAAGUGUUGCUGAAUUACCGGCACUUUUUUAGAUUAUAACGACACUCUUUAACUGUUGCUAUAUACCUAACGACCUCACAUAUAGCAACACUUUUUAAAAGUGUCGGUAAUUUAGCCAGCAACAUUUUUUGUAACCUAUACCUAUAUUUAAAAAUAUUGUUAUAGACCGUUUUUAUUGUAGUGAAUAACAUUAAUUAUAGUUAGUAUCAAUAUUUUUUAAAAGCUUAAUUCAAGUUUGCUCAAAAAUAAUGU